Molecule: long non-coding RNA, 1167 nt
Organism: Onychomys torridus (southern grasshopper mouse)
Lineage: Eukaryota; Metazoa; Chordata; Mammalia; Rodentia; Cricetidae
Exons: 3
Source: RefSeq, a predicted model, not a curated record
UAUAAGUCAUUAUAAUCUGGCUACACUCAAAGAUCAGAACUGCAGGGCCUUAAAAUGGUAAUAGAUGCAGAUAUUGCUGCCAAUGGCUUAAAAAAUGUCUCUCCUCACUCAAGGUCUAUUCAUGCUUAAGAAUGUAUGCCUCCUUGUCCUUACUAACUUCAUUAAGCUGUAACUAAUUGGAAAACUGUAUAUCCAUAUUUAACUUAUAUAUGCUGUCAAAGUCAAUUUAGAUAUAACUAACAUAUUUUGUUCCCCUGGUUCUCAAACACCUUUAGAGAUUGGAGAAUAUGGCCUUUAAUAUAAAAGCUUUUUAUGAUGGAGAGACAGGUCAGCUCCUGGCAGCAUCCUGUAUCUUCUCCAAGAAGAUGGAUGGCUGCAGAAGAACUUCCACCUGGAAGCUUAUGGCAAGGUCAGCCAGGAAGUGCAAAGCUGCCUUGGACUGCUGCUGAGAUCCUGUCCAGACUGUGAAUAGCUGGAGCAAUGGGGGAUUGAUUGUGCCAUGUUGCUAAGUCAAGUUCACUCCUCCUGCCAGACUCGUGCUAAGGCCAAUCCACAGGGGUCAUCCAGAUACACCAGCCCCUGCACCAGCUCCGAGGAUGCUAACCACCAACAGAGGAUGCCACCCAGGCAAAUACUGGCAGGUUGAUUUCACCCACAUCCCUGCUCAUAAAAAGACUGCAUCUCCUAACUCUUACUGACACCUUUACAGGAUAGAUGCACUCCCACCUCCAGAGAAAUAGCAGAUGUGAUGGCUCCUGCACUCCUAAAGAACACAUCAUCCCUCAAUUCACUGCUGGUAUCAGCUCUCCAGGCUCAAAAACCUGCCUUCUCAGCUCCCUCAAGGAACAGACGCCUGAGGACUCCAUGAUGACAACCACCUGAAUGCUUCUUCACUCACACCUCCUACCAUGUGUGACUCCGACUCCCAACUUCCUCCUUCCACUUCGACCCUUGUCAGUAGGAGGCAGUCUAAAGAAUUCAGUGCCCUCAUUCUUCCACUUGCUACCCAUAACUUGCCUUUUUUUUUUUUAUAAUAAUCAAAAUGGAGGAAUGAUAGCAUUCUGAACCACCCGUUGGGGCUGCCCAGCAUCCUGAUGUCAUUUUACCUAAAAGCCUCCUUUAAGGAAAAACCCUCCCUUCUUCUUCCUCUUUUCCUUCCUCCCUUUC